UGGUACAUGAUGUUUGCAAAAUACCCCAGUUGAUCGAUGUUUGCAAAAGUGUUAUAUGUAAGAUAUGUCAUUUUUACUGUUCUAAUCUAUCUAGUCUUCUUGGUUACAUUAUGAUUGGAUGUUUGUUAAUCUGAUGCCAAGGUAAGAGAACCACUGACUGGUGGAGAGAUGGUAAGAAAGAAAUAAAAUUGCUGAUCAACAAAGUAGCUAUGGCAGUUUGGAUUUCUCAUGUUGUGAGGCAGGUGUUUAACUCAGAUGUGGGUAGCAACAAAGAUUUUAUUUAGCUCUCUACCCUCUGACAUCCCUUACAUGCUUCUUUUUACUAUUUUAUCUCUAUUGUUCUGCUAUACACCAUAUAUUGCCCCAAAAAGUCAUCAAUUAAGAUGAUAAAAUGCUACCCUGCUUUUAAA
Long non-coding RNA from Abrus precatorius (Indian licorice), 410 nucleotides. RefSeq lists it as uncharacterized. NCBI's taxonomy places the organism in Eukaryota, Viridiplantae, Streptophyta, Magnoliopsida, Fabales, Fabaceae. The transcript is spliced from 2 exons. The record is from RefSeq and is a predicted model, not a curated record.